GAUCAUGGCUCAGGACGAACGCUGGCGGCGUGCUUAACACAUGCAAGUCGAACGAGAAUCUGCGGAAAGAGGAUUCGUCCAAUUGAAGCAGAGGACAGUGGCGGACGGGUGAGUAACGCGUGAGGAACCUGCCUUUCUAGAGGGGGACGAACAGUUGGAAACGAACUGCUAAUACCGCAUGACAUAUAGAUGUCGCAUGGCAUUUAUAUCAAAGAUUUAUCGCUGAAAG
Molecule: ribosomal RNA, 229 nt
Filed under: uncultured bacterium
Lineage: Bacteria
Description: partial 16S ribosomal RNA
Rfam family: Bacterial small subunit ribosomal RNA
Source: RNAcentral